UACGAAGGGAGCUAGCGUUGUUCGGAAUUACUGGGCGUAAAGCGCAUGCAGGCGGAUCGUUAAGUCGGGGGUGAAAUCCUGGAGCUCAACUCCAGAACUGCCUUUGAUACUGAAGAUCUUGAGUUCGGGAGAGGUGAGUGGAACUGCGAGUGUAGAGGUGAAAUUCGUAGAUAUUCGCAAGAACACCAGUGGCGAAGGCGGCUCACUGGCCCGAUACUGACGCUGAGGCACGAAAGCGUGGGGAGCAAACAGG
RNAcentral lists this ribosomal RNA (253 nucleotides) under uncultured bacterium. RNAcentral's name for it is "partial 16S ribosomal RNA". It matches the Rfam family "Bacterial small subunit ribosomal RNA", at positions 524 to 776 of the family's 1533-position model. The record is from RNAcentral.